AAAAUCAUUUCUAUCAUUCACAAUGCCUAGAUUAUGUAUUCGUAAAUGUGUAAUUCAUUUUGAUCUUAUUUAACGAGUAAGAAUAUACGUAUCCAAAUUGAUUUUAUCAUAGACGUAUUCAUAUUUUGUAUUUAAUCAACACCCAUUCACAAUUUCACACGUAUUCAUAUUUUGUAUCACAGACAUAUAUUUAUACCUUAUAUAAAAUAUUAUAUAGUAUAAUUUAUAUAAAUAACCAUAUAUAAUAUGUUAAAUACAUAAAUUUAUAUUCAAAAUAUACUCAUAAAAAAUUUAUAUUCGACCCUCUACAUUUUAAUAUUCCCUUAAUCUUUAACCUCAAAUUCCGAAAUCAAACUCGGUUAUUCCGGACAUAGAAACUAUGAGCCUGAUUGAUCUUGGUCGCCACGAAGAAGAUCUUUUGCUAGUGGUGAAGAAGUUGAUGAAGUUAAAGAGUUUAAAAAUUAAUUUUUAUCGAUAAUCUUUGUUAAUUUACUUAAUUAUUAUCUAUUUACAUUUGAACUAUUUAAUUUUUAACUAUUUGAACUAUAAUUUCAGACUUCUUAUUUUUUUAUUCAGUAUUUUACAUUAUUGUUUAAAAUCAAUAAAAAUAAAUUCCAUAAUUUAAUUUGGUCCAGGUAUCUCUCUGUCCCCAGUCAUAUACCCACUUACCCCUACAUAGAUCUCUUGAAUUUCACUUCUUCCCCAUCUGUUGAUGAAAACCUGGUUACAAUUGAAGAUUCGAUAGAUGACGAUGAAGACAUUGUAGGGAAUAAUUUAAAGACGGGUCGAGAGAGAAUAUAUAUAUUGUAAGAUAUUAGAAAUAGAAAAGAUAUUUAUGUAUUAUCUAUUUUUUGUGUGGCUAAACCAAGGGUGAGAACGGGACGGGACGCCGGCGGGGUCGCUCUGUUAUGGAAAACGCCCCGUUCUGGGAAAACGGGGCACAGAACAGGGCGGGUCAGGCAUAUAGGAAUGCUAAAAAAUUUACAACAAAGAAAAAAUAAAUGGAAAUUCGACAGCCUUAUAUGCUAAGAAAAAUGAAAAAAAAAAUUAAGAAGGAUGAAUCUAAGAAGAAUGGAGUAUAUAUCAAAUUGUUUAAAUCGUGUAUAUAUCGAGUAUUUUUGUAAUAUCAAAAUCUUUUAUUAAAUUGUUUAACAUAUUAAUUAAAAACAAUUGUAAUUUUUUUUAUAAUAAUCAUAUAAAUUAACAUUUUAUAUUUAAGUAUAUUAAUUUAAAAUUCACA
Molecule: long non-coding RNA, 1240 nt
Filed under: Zostera marina
Lineage: Eukaryota; Viridiplantae; Streptophyta; Magnoliopsida; Alismatales; Zosteraceae
Description: long non-coding RNA (ZMAR_LNC004590)
Source: RNAcentral